This is a long non-coding RNA of Bos taurus (domestic cattle), 1302 nucleotides long. The record is from Ensembl. NCBI's taxonomy places the organism in Eukaryota, Metazoa, Chordata, Mammalia, Artiodactyla, Bovidae.
UUUUAAUAUGACGUGUUAGUGAAAGUGUUAGUCACUUCAGUCGUGUCCAACUCUUUGCGACCCCAUGGACUGUAGCCCGCCAGGCUCCUCUGUCCAUGGGGUUUCCCAGGCAAGAACAGUAGAGUGGGUUGACAUGCCCUCCUCCAGGAGAUCUUCCCGACCCAGAGAUUGAACCCAGGUCUCCAGCAUUUCAGGUGGAUUCUUUUCUGUCUCAGCCACCUCGGAACCUUCUGACGGUGAAAUGUGGCCAUUUACCUUCACGCUUCAAUGCCAGCCCCUAAAUCACUGUCUCCGCGCCCGCGCUCAAGGUUGCUCCCGGAGCCGGCCGCCAACAAAGCCGCCGCCGCCUCCGCCCGGGACCCGGGCACCGAGCCUCAGCCCCGCUCCACGCCCCGACCCCCGCGGCCGCGAAGACCCGGAAGGGCCCGCUCCCCGCCUGGUCCGCUGCGCCCCCGCCGCCUUCCUCUUUCCUUCUGUGUCUGUCUCUCCAUUUUUUUGUCCCAAGGCCCUAUCUCCGGGACGAAGCAUCCAGAGGCUCUCGGUCCAAACUCACCAAGAAACCUCAAGUUCACUCCCCUAUGGUAAAUGGACGGAGUGAGGAACACCGGCUUGAGUGAAGGAGGCUCUUAACUGUGUAGCUACUUUACGCUUGGGUCCCUCUGCCCCGGGAGUCCCCGGACGGCAGAGUCUUUGAUGCAGAGACGGCCUCGCGAGUGUCACUGAUAACGCAGGACCGCGUGCGCUUCUCACCUGCAGCUGCAAACACUUCACCCAUCUCUGCGGCUCUGCUGUGACAUGGCUUCCCCUCCGCAAUCUUUCCCUCCCUGAUCUUUCUUUCCUGUCCUCCAGGAUCUCCAUUUGUCUUCCGUGCAAAGAGACAAGGGAGGGGGAGACGGGAGAGAGUCCAAGUUCUGGGCACACAGGACACAGGGUGGGGCGGCUGUUUGGAAAACGGGGAGCUGUUGGCGCAGAGAACCAGGACCGUAGCGAGGAGGUCUCGGUCCCUGCCAAGGCCUGACGUUCCCCCACCUGCCAGUCACGGGAGAGAUUGGCGUCUCAUCUGACUGACGGAGACUACGCUUUCUCAUCAGACCAGAGGCACCCUCCCCCACCGCCAGGGCAGAGGCUGUAUUCCUCCCCGCCCCCCGCCGCCCCGCAUUAGAUUGCUUGCUCCCCAGAAUAGGGGAGCCUCCUCCAUUUGCCUGAGAGCUUUCCUUUGGCAGGGGAUCUGUCCCCCCAUCAGAUUCGGAGCUCCCCAGAAUAGAGGCUUCUGUCCCCUGCCAUCAGACUAAGAACUCCCCC